Molecule: microRNA, 23 nt
Filed under: Drosophila melanogaster (fruit fly)
Lineage: Eukaryota; Metazoa; Arthropoda; Insecta; Diptera; Drosophilidae
Description: dme-miR-3644-3p
Source: miRBase by way of RNAcentral
CAUAAACUAUAUUUAACCACUAU